AUGUCGAGCCGGCCCGCCGGCCGCCGCUCGUCGGCGUCGGCCACGGCGGAGACCGCCGGCGCUAAGGCUGCCAAGGCAGCGUCGCUGGAAAACAGGCGGGCCGCCCUGGGAAAUCUCACCAACGUUGCCGGCGGGAGGACCGGCGCGGCCGAUGUGAAAUCCAGUUCAUCCAACUCAGUAGCCUAUGUGAAGAAGGGGAGUUCUGCUAGCGUUCCCAACGUGAACAGGAAAGUGGCUUCUGCCACAAAACCAACUUUCGACCGGUUUGAGCGAGCAAUAUCGCACCAUGGCAAUGCCCUUCAGAAGGAGAAUGUUUGUCGCCUAUCUGUGCCAACGUUGGCGCCCCAUGGCAGUUGGCCCGGCCUGUCUCAUGAUUCUGUUUCUAUGGAGGACGAUAUGCUAACAUGCAAUUCAGUGGAAAGCCCUGGUCCUCCAUUCCUUGACAAUGCAGCUUCUUCAGUGGCAGCUUCCUUGCGCCGUUGUGCGAAUGAUAAACUUCCUGUAUCUGACAAUAGGGACACCACAGUAUCUAGAUGGAGAAAACAUUGUCCUACCCCAAUCGAAAACGACAAUAUCUUUGAGAUUGAAACGCACUGCAAGGAUCCAGAAUUGUGUUCAACUAUUGCUUGUGACAUUUACAAGCACUUGCGUGAAGCUGAGACCAAGAAAAGGCCUUCACCAGAUUUUCUGGAAACCACACAGAAGGAUAUUGACGCAAGCAUGAGGGCAGUACUUAUAGACUGGCUUGUGGAAGUCACAGAAGAAUAUCGUCUUGUUCCUGAAACCUUAUACCUCACAGUCAGUUAUAUUGAUCGGUAUCUUUCUAGCAAAGAGAUCAAUCGAGAUAAGCUGCAGUUACUUGGUGUCGCCUGCUUUCUUAUAGCUGCUAAGUAUGAAGAGAUAUGUCCACCCCAAGUAGAAGAGCUCUGCUAUAUUACCGACAAUACAUACAUAAAGGAUGAGGUUCUGCGAAUGGAAGCUUCUAUCCUGGGUUGCUUGAAGUUUGAGAUGACUGCACCUACAGGAAAAUGUUUUUUGAGGAGAUUUCUGCAUGCUGCUCAAGUAUGUCAUGAGGGCCCAGCUUUGCAUCUUGAGUUCCUAGCUAGCUACAUUACUGAGUUGUCACUUCUGGAGUACAGCUUACUUUGCCAUGUACCUUCACUGAUAGCUGCCUCUUCAAUUUUCUUGGCGAAUUUUAUCCUUAAGCCAACAAAGAAUCCUUGGCAGAAUACCACUCUUUCCUAUCACACACAAUACAAACCAUCCACAUUACGCGAUUGUGUAAAGGUACUACACCGGCUUUUCCGUGUUGGCCUUGGAAGCAACCUCCCUGCAAUUAGAGAAAAGUACAGCCAACACAAGUACAAAUUUGUAGCGAAAAAGUACUGCCCGCCAUCGAUUCCAGCCAACUUCUUCCAAGAUGCUAGCAGUUAG
This 1434-nucleotide ribosomal RNA is filed under the name Triticum aestivum (bread wheat). RNAcentral's name for it is "partial small subunit ribosomal RNA". The record is from RNAcentral. Lineage: Eukaryota; Viridiplantae; Streptophyta; Magnoliopsida; Poales; Poaceae.